This 508-nucleotide ribosomal RNA is filed under the name uncultured bacterium. RNAcentral describes it as "bacterial SSU rRNA". It matches the Rfam family "Bacterial small subunit ribosomal RNA", at positions 62 to 564 of the family's 1533-position model. The record is from RNAcentral.
UCGAGCGGAGAUGAGGUGCUUGCACCUUAUCUUAGCGGCGGACGGGUGAGUAAUGCUUAGGAAUCUGCCUAUUAGUGGGGGACAACAUUCCGAAAGGGAUGCUAAUACCGCAUACGUCCUACGGGAGAAAGCAGGGGAUCUUCGGACCUUGCGCUAAUAGAUGAGCCUAAGUCGGAUUAGCUAGUUGGUGGGGUAAAGGCCUACCAAGGCGACGAUCUGUAGCGGGUCUGAGAGGAUGAUCCGCCACACUGGGACUGAGACACGGCCCAGACUCCUACGGGAGGCAGCAGUGGGGAAUAUUGGACAAUGGGGGGAACCCUGAUCCAGCCAUGCCGCGUGUGUGAAGAAGGCCUUAUGGUUGUAAAGCACUUUAAGCGAGGAGGAGGCUACUGAGACUAAUACUCUUGGAUAGUGGACGUUACUCGCAGAAUAAGCACCGGCUAACUCUGUGCCAGCAGCCGCGGUAAUACAGAGGGUGCGAGCGUUAAUCGGAUUUACUGGGCGUAAA